RNAcentral lists this ribosomal RNA (465 nucleotides) under uncultured bacterium. RNAcentral's name for it is "partial 16S ribosomal RNA". It matches the Rfam family "Bacterial small subunit ribosomal RNA", at positions 28 to 507 of the family's 1533-position model. The record is from RNAcentral.
GACGAACGCUGGCGGCGUGCUUAACACAUGCAAGUCGAACGGAAAGGCCCUGCUUGCAGGGUACUCGAGUGGCGAACGGGUGAGUAACACGUGGGUGAUCUGCCCUGCACUUCGGGAUAAGCCUGGGAAACUGGGUCUAAUACCGGAUAGGAGCCAUUUUUAGUGUGAUGGUUGGAAAGAUUUUUCGGUGUAGGAUGAGCUCGCGGCCUAUCAGCUUGUUGGUGGGGUAAUGGCCUACCAAGGCGGCGACGGGUAGCUGGCCUGAGAGGGUGGACGGCCACACUGGGACUGAGAGGAGGCCCAGGCGCCGACGGGAGGCAGCAGGGGGGAAUAUUGCACAAGGGGCGCAAGCCUGGUGCAGCGACGCCGCGGGGGGGAUGACGGCCUUAGGGUUGUAAAAUCCUUUCGCUAGGGACGAAGCUUUUUGUGACGGUACCUAGAGAAGAAGCACCGGCUAACUACGUG